GGUGAACGCUGGCGGCGUGCCUAAGACAUGCAAGUCGAGCGGGGCAGGUUUAUGCCUGUUCAGCGGCGGACGGGUGAGUAACGCGUGGGUGACCUACCCGGAAGAGGCGGACAACCUGGGGAAACCCAGGCUAAUCCGCCAUGUGGUCCUGUCCUGUGGGGCAGGACUAAAGGGUGGAUAGCCCGCUUCCGGAUGGGCCCGCGUCCCAUCAGCUAGUUGGUGGGGUAAAGGCCCACCAAGGCGACGACGGGUAGCCGGUCUGAGAGGAUGGCCGGCCACAGAGGCACUGAGACACGGGACCCAGUCCUACGGGAGGCAGCAGUUAGGAAUCUGCCGCAAUGGACGGAAGUCUGACGGAGCGACGCCGCUGGGAGGAGGAAGCCCUUCGGGGUGUAAACUCCUGAACUGGGGACGAAAGCCCUGUGUAGGGGGAUGACGGGACCCAGGUAAUAGCGCGGGCCAACUACGUG
Molecule: ribosomal RNA, 470 nt
Filed under: uncultured bacterium
Lineage: Bacteria
Description: partial 16S ribosomal RNA
Rfam family: Bacterial small subunit ribosomal RNA
Source: RNAcentral